This 424-nucleotide ribosomal RNA is filed under the name uncultured bacterium. RNAcentral's name for it is "partial 16S ribosomal RNA". It matches the Rfam family "Bacterial small subunit ribosomal RNA", at positions 360 to 776 of the family's 1533-position model. The record is from RNAcentral.
AAUAUUGGACAAUGGGGGGAACCCUGAUCCAGCCAUGCCGCGUGUGUGAAGAAGGUCUUCGGAUGGUAAAGCACUUUAAGUUGGGAGGAAGAGUUGUAGGCUAAUACCUUGCAAUUUUGACGUUACGAACAGAAUAAGCACCGGCUAACUUCGUGCAAGCCGCCGCGGUAAUACGAAGGGUGCAAGCGUUAAUCGGAAUUACUGGGCGUAAAGCGAGCGUAGGUGGUUCAGUAAGAUGGAAGUGAAAUCCCCGGGCUUAACCUGGGAACUGCUUUCAAAACUGACGAGCUAGAGUACGGUAGAGGGUAGUGGAAUUUCCUGUGUAGCGGUGAAAUGCGUAGAUAUAGGAAGGAACAUCAGUGGCGAAGGCGACUACCUGGACUGAUACUGACACUGAGGUGCGAAAGCGUGGGGAGCAAACAGG